This 790-nucleotide non-coding RNA is filed under the name Xylophagus ater. The record is from RNAcentral. Lineage: Eukaryota; Metazoa; Arthropoda; Insecta; Diptera; Xylophagidae.
UAAAAGUUUUAUUCUUGCUUGAAAUUUUAUUUAUAAUUUAUUUUACAUGUAAAUUUUUGUAUGAAUUAAUUUUUUUCUUAAAGAAUUAGAUUAUUUAUAAUAUUCGCAGUAAUUAAUAUUAUUUAUUAAGGUAACUUAGAAAUAGAAAUAUUAUAUAAUAUUGGUAAAAUUCGUGCCAGCUACCGCGGUUAAACGAAAGAUAUAAAUAAAAUAUUUUAAUUAUAGUUAAAUUAUAUACUAUUUUAAAAAUAAAAUUAAUUUUAUUAAGUGAAAUUUUAAAAUUAAAUAAUUUUUAUUUAUAAAUUAAUUGAGGCUAAAAAAUUUUAUAAAAAACUAGGAUUAGAUACCCUAUUAUUUAAAAUGUAAAUUUAAAAAUUAAAGUAGUAUUAGAUAUGUUCUUGAAACUUAAAGAAUUUGGCGGUAUUUUAGUCUAUUCAGAGGAACCUGUUCUAUAAUCGAUAUUCCACGUUGAAUCUUACUUAAAUUUGUUUAAUUUGUAUACCGCUGUUAUAGAAUAUUUUAUAAGAAAAAUAAUUUUCAAUAAUUUAUAUAAAAAUUAAUGUCAAGUCAAGGUGCAGUUUAUGUUUAAGAAGAAAUGGGUUACAAUAGUAUUAUUUAUUACGAAUAUAAAAUUUAAAUAUUUUAUUGAAGGUGGAUUUGAUAGUAAUUUUUUAAAGAUUAUAGAUUUGAUUUUAGCUCUAAAAUAUGCACAUAUCGCCCGUCGCUCUUAUUUUUAAAAUAAGAUAAGUCGUAACAUAGUAGAUGUACUGGAAAGUGUAUCUAGAAUGAC